This is a non-coding RNA of Stereum hirsutum FP-91666 SS1, 100 nucleotides long. The record is from the annotation of a RefSeq genome assembly. Lineage: Eukaryota; Fungi; Basidiomycota; Agaricomycetes; Russulales; Stereaceae.
GGCUCGGUAGCGUAACGGUCAACGCGCCUAUACAUGGUGAACAAUGUUUCCUCCAAUCCCUUCCACGUAGGAGAUCCCAGUUCGACUCUGGGCCGAGCUG